This 404-nucleotide ribosomal RNA is filed under the name uncultured bacterium. RNAcentral describes it as "bacterial SSU rRNA". It matches the Rfam family "Bacterial small subunit ribosomal RNA", at positions 355 to 776 of the family's 1533-position model. The record is from RNAcentral.
UGGGGAAUAUUGGACAAUGGGGGAAACCCUGAUCCAGCAAUGCCGCGUGAGUGAAGAAGGCCUUAGGGUUGUAAAACUCUUUCACCCGUGAAGAUGAUGACUGUAGCGGGAGAAGAAGCUCCGGCUAACUCCGUGCCAGCAGCCGCGGUAAUACGGAGGGGGCUAGCGUUGCUCGGAAUUACUGGGCGUAAAGCGCGCGUAGGCGGUGCAUUUAGUCAGACGUGAAAUCCCCGGGCUUAACCCGGGAAUUGCGUUUGAUACUGAUGUACUAGAAUUCGAGAGAGGGUAGUGGAAUUUCCAGUGUAGAGGUGAAAUUCGUAGAUAUUGGAAAGAACACCAGUGGCGAAGGCGGCUACCUGGCUCGAUAUUGACGCUGAGGUGCGAAAGCGUGGGGAGCGAACAGG